Molecule: ribosomal RNA, 301 nt
Filed under: uncultured bacterium
Lineage: Bacteria
Description: partial 16S ribosomal RNA
Rfam family: Bacterial small subunit ribosomal RNA
Source: RNAcentral
CAGCCGCCACGGUAAUACAGAGGGUGCGAGCGUUAAUCGGAUUUACUGGGCGUAAAGCGUGCGUAGGUGGUGGUUUAAGUCCGUUGUGAAAGCCCUGGGCUCAACCUGGGAAUUGCAGUGGAUACUGGGUCACUAGAGUGUGGUAGAGGAUAGUGGAAUUUCCGGUGUAGCAGUGAAAUGCGUAGAGAUCGGAAGGAACAUCUGUGGCGAAGGCGACUAUCUGGGCCAACACUGACACUGAGGCACGAAAGCGUGGGGAGCAAACAGGAUUAGAUACCCCGGUAGUCCCUGUCUCUUAUAC